This 465-nucleotide ribosomal RNA is filed under the name uncultured Streptococcus sp. Its description in RNAcentral is "bacterial SSU rRNA". It matches the Rfam family "Bacterial small subunit ribosomal RNA", at positions 338 to 795 of the family's 1533-position model. The record is from RNAcentral. Lineage: Bacteria; Bacillati; Bacillota; Bacilli; Lactobacillales; Streptococcaceae.
CCUACGGGUGGCAGCAGUAGGGAAUCUUCGGCAAUGGACGGAAGUCUGACCGAGCAACGCCGCGUGAGUGAAGAAGGUUUUCGGAUCGUAAAGCUCUGUUGUAAGAGAAGAACGAGUGUGAGAGUGGAAAGUUCACACUGUGACGGUAUCUUACCAGAAAGGGACGGCUAACUACGUGCCAGCAGCCGCGGUAAUACGUAGGUCCCGAGCGUUGUCCGGAUUUAUUGGGCGUAAAGCGAGCGCAGGCGGUUAGAUAAGUCUGAAGUUAAAGGCUGUGGCUUAACCAUAGUACGCUUUGGAAAAUGUUUAACUUGAGUGCAAGAGGGGAGAGUGGAAUUCCAUGUGUAGCGGUGAAAUGCGUAGAUAUAUGGAGGAACACCGGUGGCGAAAGCGGCUCUCUGGCUUGUAACUGACGCUGAGGCUCGAAAGCGUGGGGAGCAAACAGGAUUAGAUACCCGUGUAGUC